AGCGAACGUUAGCGGCGGGCCUAACACAUGCAAGUCGAACGGGCAGUAGCAAUACUGUCAGUGGCGCACGGGUGCGUAACGCGUAGAUAAUCUACCUUCCAGCGGGGGAUAACUGAGGGAAACCUUAGCUAAUACCCCAUAAGACCACGGGGCCUUCGGGUUCUGCGGGAAAAGGCGGCCUCUGCAUAUGCUGUCACUGGGAGAUGAGUCUGCGUCCCAUCAGCUAGUUGGUGAGGUAAUGGCUCACCAAGGCGAAGACGGGUAGCUGGUCUGAGAGGAUGAUCAGCCACACUGGAACUGAGACACGGUCCAGACUCCUACGGAGGCAGCAGUGGGGAAUUUUGGACAAUGGGGGCAACCCGUGAUCCAGCCAUUCCGCGUGAGUGAAGAAGGCU
This 395-nucleotide ribosomal RNA is filed under the name uncultured bacterium. RNAcentral's name for it is "bacterial SSU rRNA". It matches the Rfam family "Bacterial small subunit ribosomal RNA", at positions 29 to 416 of the family's 1533-position model. The record is from RNAcentral.